AUCUCCAUUUCUGGCUCGCCCAGCUAGGAGGAGAGAAGAUCAAGUUUAGGUCUGGGGGGUGUCAGAGAGUCGUAUUGUCUGCGUUAUCAGUAUCUUGUUAUUACCUACUUGAGAGUGUAAGACUUGUAUUCUGACUGUAUUUGUAAUUUGCAAACUGUUGGAUUGUAUUUGUAUUCUGUAGGGCUGCUAAAGCCCGUACUUGUAGUAUGUCAGUUUUCAGUACCCUAUUUGUGCUUUUAUGUUCUAUUCAUAUUUGCUUGUUA
Molecule: long non-coding RNA, 263 nt
Organism: Dioscorea cayenensis subsp. rotundata (Guinea yam)
Lineage: Eukaryota; Viridiplantae; Streptophyta; Magnoliopsida; Dioscoreales; Dioscoreaceae
Exons: 2
Source: RefSeq, a predicted model, not a curated record